ACGCCGUAAACGAUGUCGACUUGGAUGUUGUGCCCUUGAGGCGUGGCUUCCGGAGCUAACGCGUUAAGUCGACCGCCUGGGGAGUACGGCCGCAAGGUUAAAACUCAAAUGAAUUGACGGGGGCCCGCACAAGCGGUGGAGCAUGUGGUUUAAUUCGAUGCAACGCGAAGAACCUUACCUGGUCUUGACAUCCACGGAAGUUUUCAGAGAUGAAAAGGUGCCUUCGGGAACCGUGAGACAGGUGCUGCAUGGCUGUCGUCAGCUCGUGUUGUGAAAUGUUGGGUUAAGUCCCGCAACGAGCGCAACCCUUAUCCUUUGUUGCCAGCGGUCCGGCCGGGAACUCAAAGGAGACUGCCAGUGAUAAACUGGAGGAAGGUGGGGAUGACGUCAAGUCAUCAUGGCCCUUACGACCAGGGCUACACACGUGCUACAAUGGCGCAUACAAAGAGAAGCGACCUCGCGAGAGCAAGCGGACCUCAUAAAGUGCGUCGUAGUCCGGAUUGGAGUCUGCAACUCGACUCCAUGAAGUCGGAAUCGCUAGUAAUCGUGGAUCAGAAUGCCACGGUGAAUACGUUCCCGGGCCUUUGUACACACCGCCCGUCACACCAUGGGAGUGGGUUGCAAAAGAAGUAGGUAGCUUAACCUUCGGGAGGGCGCUUACCACUUUGUGAUUCAUGACUGGGGUGAAGUCGUAACAAGGU
RNAcentral lists this ribosomal RNA (701 nucleotides) under Escherichia coli. Its description in RNAcentral is "bacterial SSU rRNA". It matches the Rfam family "Bacterial small subunit ribosomal RNA", at positions 797 to 1497 of the family's 1533-position model. Lineage: Bacteria; Pseudomonadati; Pseudomonadota; Gammaproteobacteria; Enterobacterales; Enterobacteriaceae. The record is from RNAcentral.